Salvelinus sp. IW2-2015 is the source of this 1222-nucleotide non-coding RNA. NCBI's taxonomy places the organism in Eukaryota, Metazoa, Chordata, Actinopteri, Salmoniformes, Salmonidae. The record is from RefSeq and is a predicted model, not a curated record.
GGAACAAAUCCUAACCCAAGGCUGAUUUCUACAAGAAGGAGGCUCAUCAAGAAUGAGACCACAGGAGAGAUGACCAUCCCUACAGUAACCAAGUCAGAUGAAGGAUUCUAUAAGUUCCCUCCAGGUUCCGUUGUCUCCAUCUCUCUGACCAGGCUGCUGUGUGGUCUACUGGUGAUGUCUCCCUUUCUACUGGUGUCCAUCGUGCUGAUGGUGAAAUGCUGCAGGGCUCGAGGUUUGUGUUCAACAGUCAAAUCUCCUCAAGACCAGAUACCAUGUGAUGAUGUCAUUGAACAGACUGAAUCAUCCGUGUGAUCAUUACAGUAUGAACUGUAAACUAAACAACCAUUUUAAUGAUUGUAAAGUUUUUACCAUUGAUAUAUGAUAGUGUUUACUCAGUUUAAUAUCACUGAAUGGAAUUUCACAAAUGCUGAAUGUUAUGAUUUUGUAAGUUYACGUGUUCAGCUUUUGGUGGAUUGUAUGCSUUCCUUUGUUAUUGUUGAUMGAUGUAGAUUUUUCAUAAAAUUUUUGAAUUGCCUCUUUUUAUUUCAGUUCGUUAAUAAAACGAGUGUAGUGCCUUUUUUUGUUUAAAAGUWGAAUUUGCUGCAUUCUUUUAAUGUUUUGUGUUUUACAUAAUGUCAUGCUUUUUACAUGCAGGUGGAAAUAGUUGAGCCUCAUGCUUUAGAGUAUACAGUACGUGAAUCUUUUCAGUUUUUAAUUUGAAUGUAGAAUUCUAAAGAUGUGUUUGAUUGGCUGAACCUGCUAUAACAGUUGAGUUGGAACACGUAGAUAUAGUUUUUUAUGCAUUUUUUUUAUAUUAAAGGUAGACUCAGCGAAAUGACGUUGCCACAAGUAGCAUCGCAGAUAUUGAGAUGAGUGAGAUGCAAGAGUUCACUCUCACACAGUAUCUGCGCAUAUGCACGGGUUCACCUCACGUUGUUCAGUGUGUUAGCCACGGGACCAAAACAGCAGAGAAGUUAAACGCUCUUAGUUGCUGUGGAAAUUGAACCACUAUGCACUUUCUGCAUCUACGUCAAAUCGCUGAGUCUACCUUUAAACUCCACUUACUUUUGACUUAUAUUAAUUUUGAAAUACUGUCUACUAAGCAUUUUGUAAAAAAAAAAAAAAAAAGGUUUUACAGCAGAUAUGUUCCAAUGUUCCGCUAUGGAAUUUAAGAUGGAGAAGGUGUGUUAUAUUUUGUAUUAAUUCUCAUAUAUCUAAUAAA